Molecule: long non-coding RNA, 205 nt
Filed under: Lathyrus oleraceus (garden pea)
Lineage: Eukaryota; Viridiplantae; Streptophyta; Magnoliopsida; Fabales; Fabaceae
Description: Pisum sativum (pea) long non-coding RNA (PSAT_LNC018871)
Source: RNAcentral
UUCAACGUUCGUGAUCGCUUCGUAGAUCCGCAUCAAAGGUUUCAAUCGUCACAAGAGGUAACGAUUCUAUCACUGAUCAUGCCCAUUCGUAAGGAUCACUAAAGGAGAUUUUUUUUUUUUUUUAAAUUCCAUUGCAUUUUGGAUCGCCCUUCUCCUUCAGUGGUAUCAGAGCCACUUACGAAACCAUGCAUCUGAUAACUGUUUA